This is a non-coding RNA of Misgurnus anguillicaudatus (oriental weatherfish), 1262 nucleotides long. Lineage: Eukaryota; Metazoa; Chordata; Actinopteri; Cypriniformes; Cobitidae. The record is from RefSeq and is a predicted model, not a curated record.
UACAUAUUAUGGUUAUUAAUCAGGCAAGAAAGUGACAUGACCUGCUGCCAACUUUAAUAAAAAUAUAUUAUCUUCUCAUACAUCGUUUUGCUAUUGAUGUCAUAUUAAAUAGCAAUCAAAUUGAUUACUAUUUUGAAAAUGUAUAAUUGAAGAUUCAUAUUGUCUUGAGUGCUGUUUUUAAUAUAAAAAGAAUGUUGAGUUUUCAGAGUCUUUAUUGUCAUUUUUUUGUGAUAGGACCCUACCAGACUAUAUUUGAAUACGGCAUACCCAUGAAUUCUGGAACUUUUAUUUCUUAACCCAGUUUGGAGGAUAAGAGCUUACCAACUAUGUGAGUACACACAGUACUUUAGUACUGUACACUGUCUCUAACAUGAUUAUACUGAGAUGAUUUUGAUUCAAAUAACGGUUAAAACUGCAUCCUUUUUGGUAUUUUCUUGACCCUUUUUGUCUUUGAAAAUCUGCAGAAAUAUGCUGAGGUGAUGUAUUGCAAAAUAGCCGACAUACAACAAUUAAAGGAUAAUUGCAGCCUAUAUCCUGAUGAAGAUAUGGAUGACCCUCUGUCUGGUCAACAAUAGUUUAAAUAUGGACGGGACAGUUAUGUGGCAGCUCUUCCCUGGCUCAUUCACCUCUUGCCUUCAUUUGUGAAAGGAGGAAAGACUGGAGAGGGUCAAUGUGCAACUGAAGCUACUGAUUGUGCUGUGUGAUGAGCAUCAAUCCAUGCUUUGAGGGGGGUGAACCAGCACAGCCCUGCCUGCUCUGCGUUGGGAACAAAAGUUGCAUCCAGAAUUUUUGCAUCAUUCUGGACCAAAAAGUCAUUCCCUCCAUGAUGAAGACCACUGAUGCAGCCUUCCACUACAUCAUGAGUAAAACAACUACAGAACUAAAUACCAGGUUGGAACGUGUUUAAGAAAAAUAAAACGUCUUUUGAAUUGAAAUGUCUGUUUUGUUAUGGAAAAAUCUUUAGUAUUGUGAAUGAUAAGCAUUUCUGCUUGUCGAUAAGGUAAUUGCAUGUAUUUUAAUGUUCAAGUUUUGAGUAGGGUGGCUAAUUUUUUUAACUCUUAUUUGAUUUAUUAAAGACCUUUAUAAUAAGUGGUUUUCAUGUCACUGCGCUGUGGUAUAAGAUAACUUUCAUUAUUCCAUACUGUAUUCUGUUUCUAAUUGUAGCUGAGGUAUUUAAAUAAGCAGUGUUAAAUGCAAAGUGUUGUGUGUAUCAAUGUAAAUAUUAAAUGUGAUUUACUUUAAUAAAAAGAGGUUUUGCAAUA